GAGACACUCCAUGGAGCAGGACUUGCUUCAGUGGGGCUUUGGUGCUCACUGAGUCUGCUCCUUGAAUGUAUCACU
RNAcentral lists this microRNA precursor (75 nucleotides) under Myotis davidii. RNAcentral's name for it is "mir-9229 microRNA precursor family". It matches the Rfam family "mir-9229 microRNA precursor family". Lineage: Eukaryota; Metazoa; Chordata; Mammalia; Chiroptera; Vespertilionidae. The record is from Rfam by way of RNAcentral.